UACAGAGGGUGCGAGCGUUGUCCGGAAUCACUGGGCUUAAAGGGCGCGUAGGCGGGCCGUCAAGUCCGGGGUGAAAUCCUCCAGCCCAACCGGAGAAGCGACUCGGAGACUGGCGGCCUCGAGGAGGGUAGGGGCAAGCGGAACUAUGGGUGGAGCGGUGAAAUGCAUUGAUAUCCAUAGGAACUCCGGUGGCGAAGGCGGCUUGCUGGACCCUUUCUGACGCUGAGGCGCGAAAGCCAGGGGAGCGAACGGG
This 253-nucleotide ribosomal RNA is filed under the name uncultured bacterium. Its description in RNAcentral is "partial 16S ribosomal RNA". It matches the Rfam family "Bacterial small subunit ribosomal RNA", at positions 524 to 776 of the family's 1533-position model. The record is from RNAcentral.